Molecule: long non-coding RNA, 1515 nt
Filed under: Homo sapiens (human)
Lineage: Eukaryota; Metazoa; Chordata; Mammalia; Primates; Hominidae
Description: HSALNT0340523
Source: RNAcentral
ACCAUUGAAGGCACUGGUUAUUUUACCAAGGCUUUGACUGGAAUGGCAUGGUUUCAGUUAUAAACAGACUGCUUUAAGGAAUCAAAGUUGACUUACAGAGCUGAUAAAAGGCCCCUAAGAAAAACUGGCCUCACCUCUUGUCUAUAUAGUCCCUAUAUAGGUUUCCUGACCUGUGUUUUUUGACUUGGACUCAAUAAAAUUGCUGCUACCUUUUUACUGAGGCCUUACAAGCUAAAGCUUAUUCCUUGAGACACAGAAGUUCCAGGGAUUGAAUCUUGAGACAAUCUGGGUGCCUAUGGAAUUAUCUCCCACCAGAAGAUUACUUCAAGGCAGCAGCUAAUUUACAACCUGGUCAAGCCUGAGAUGGUGUCAACCCAUUCUCAAGAUGGGACAAUAACUCAAGAUAAGUCAUCAAAACAAGCCACGUAGACCAGCACCACCUCUCACGCCCCCACCCACCACCCCCCACCCACCACAUAUCCUCCAUACCAAACUUCCCCUUCUUAAACCCUAGCAUUUUGCCCAAGAAUUUUGAAGCAGUUUCAUUAAGGCAGGAGCCUGAACCACUUCCCCACUGUUAGCUUUGGAAAAUGAAGUCAAUUUCCUUAUACUGAACCUUGUCCUUGUUAUUUAGUUUUGCAAGUGGUGAGCAGCUGAACCUACAUUUGGUUGCAGUCUUAUUUCUCAAUUGGGGCAGUGUCUGUUUCGUCUCUCAACUGGGGCAGCACAGCGUUAAAGCUAGUGAAUUAAUUUCUUUUAUGGAGAAGUUCUUCCCUUACCCUUUAUUUUGUAAGGUAUUAGUAAUAGACCAGUGAUGGUUAUUAUGUUUAGUCAUACUAGUGUUAAGUACCAAUAACUGUGCUGGGGAAACAUGGAUAUAUAAUAUUUCUGAUAUUCUAUCCAAUCUUGCCCUUGAAGAGAUUUCCACCAUGGGAAAUCCAGAACUACUGGAAAGGGACAUGAGACCACAUACCCAAUGAGCAUCCUUUUGUAACCUAUUAGCAUAGUGUUGGGCCCAUUGCAAAAAGAGGUUGCUUUAUGGGCAACAAGUGGUAUAGUAGUACCAAGGCAUGAGAACUAAGGAGAAAAAAAAAAGAAGUUGGGUGGAAGCUUGUAAAAUAAAAUAUUCUCCAUCUAUUAACAAUUGUUAAUAUUAAGCAUUAAUUUAGAUACAGACCUGGUCCAGGUCUUGGGACACCCAACCAUGUCUGCGACCAUCUUCUUCUCAAUUGGCAUCGCCUUAUUUUAAGUAGAAGAUUACUCUCUGGUGAAACAGUCUAUUCAGGAGGCUCAGCUUUCCUUAGAUGUGAGACGUGAAUCCAGGAGUCUAUGCCUUCUAGUUUAGCAGCACAAGAAUUAGUAAGAAGUACCUGGUAAGGUCCGCUGUAUCCUGGUUGGAGACAAUCUUUUAAGAAAUGUUUCCAAUAGACAAAAUCUCCAGGUUCAAGUCUGUGGUUCUUUAGAUUUAUGUUUCCAAGAAGCUUUCUGUGAAAAGAUUAUUUUACUAAGUCACAA